UCUCUAUUUUUCUCCACGAUCUCUGAGUUUUAACAAAGCGUCACUAAUAUAAUUCUCAGUUAAUCAAAAAUUCACAUUCAUACUUUCCUCUAAUUGCUUCGUCCUCCGUUCAAAACUCAGAUAUUCCAAAAUUUAGAUCAAUGGAAAAGGGAGAAAGCCAAGGAGAUGAGAUUGAGUCAAAAGAAAACGAAGGAUAAGAAACUGUUGACUUGACACAUUGCAUCUCCACCACUAGCUUGAGGGAUAUUAUACUACAUCAUCGAUAAAAAUAUCUAUGUUUUUCAUCAAUGAACUUGAAAAACUUUCAGCUAAAAGGAUAAUUCAUCAUCAGAAGAUGGAUGGGAGGCCCAUGAAACAAAAAAAAAACAUUUCUCCAAUCAACGAUUCUUGCACAUUCC
Camelina sativa (false flax) is the source of this 398-nucleotide non-coding RNA. The record is from RefSeq and is a predicted model, not a curated record. NCBI's taxonomy places the organism in Eukaryota, Viridiplantae, Streptophyta, Magnoliopsida, Brassicales, Brassicaceae.